This 423-nucleotide ribosomal RNA is filed under the name uncultured bacterium. RNAcentral's name for it is "bacterial SSU rRNA". It matches the Rfam family "Bacterial small subunit ribosomal RNA", at positions 359 to 776 of the family's 1533-position model. The record is from RNAcentral.
GAAUUUUGGGCAAUGGGCGAAAGCCUGACCCAGCAACGCCGCGUGAAGGAUGAAAUCCCUCGGGAUGUAAACUUCGCAAGAUUGGGAAGAAUUAGUAGGGGUUAAUACCCCCUAUGAUGACGGUACCUUUUGUAAGCUCCGGCUAACUCCGUGCCAGCAGCCGCGGUAAUACGGGGGGAGCAAGCGUUGUUCGGAUUUACUGGGCGUAAAGGGCGCGUAGGCGGUCAGCACAAGUCAGUUGUGAAAUCUCCGGGCUUAACUCGGAAAGGUCAACUGAUACUGUGCGACUAGAGUGCAGAAGGGGCAACUGGAAUUCUCGGUGUAGCGGUGAAAUGCGUAGAUAUCGAGAGGAACACCUGCGGCGAAGGCGGGUUGCUGGGCUGACACUGACGCUGAGGCGCGAAAGCCAGGGGAGCGAACGGG